GCCGAAAUAGCUCAGUUGGGAGAGCGUUAAGACUGAAGUUAUUUACGCAACAAUCAUCUCAAGGCCCCCGGUUCAAUCCCGGGUUCCGGCA
Molecule: transfer RNA, 91 nt
Filed under: Dreissena polymorpha
Lineage: Eukaryota; Metazoa; Mollusca; Bivalvia; Myida; Dreissenidae
Rfam family: tRNA
About the family: Transfer RNA (tRNA) molecules are approximately 80 nucleotides in length. Their secondary structure includes four short double-helical elements and three loops (D, anti-codon, and T loops). Further hydrogen bonds mediate the characteristic L-shaped molecular structure. tRNAs have two regions of fundamental functional importance: the anti-codon, which is responsible for specific mRNA codon recognition, and the 3' end, to which the tRNAs corresponding amino acid is attached (by aminoacyl-tRNA synthetases). tRNAs cope with the degeneracy of the genetic code in two manners: having more than one tRNA (with a specific anti-codon) for a particular amino acid; and 'wobble' base-pairing, i.e. permitting non-standard base-pairing at the 3rd anti-codon position.
Source: Rfam by way of RNAcentral